Molecule: long non-coding RNA, 820 nt
Filed under: Hordeum vulgare
Lineage: Eukaryota; Viridiplantae; Streptophyta; Magnoliopsida; Poales; Poaceae
Description: long non-coding RNA (HVUL_LNC021132)
Source: RNAcentral
CCCAUUAGGCUUUUUGCUUACCAGUGGCAGGCGCAAGGUUGUGUCUACCGGUAACAUUUGUCCAGAUUAGCCAUGAGACAAAUGGUAUUAGUGGUAGGCACAAACAAUGCCCGUCACUGGUACUUGAGUUACCAAUGACGGGCAAACAAUAUGUGCAUGUCAUUGGUAUUUUUGUUCCACAACUAUUAUGUCCAAAAAUUAGCCAAUCGUGCAAACCAUGACACCGAUGCUUGAGUUACCAAUGACGGGCAAACAAUAUGUGUUGCUCCCCUUCCCCCCUCUCGGGCCAAUCCCGCAUCCACGUGAAUCUUUGCAAAGCCCGUCUGCGGAACUGCCAUCCGGUCCUCCUAUGUGGCGUUAUCACAUGUGCACCUUUUGUGUUAGCUGGCUUCGCAUUGACAUCACCACGUUCUACAAUGAACCGUUUCACAAAUAGGUUGAUGCAUAAAGGACUUUGAAAUACAUGCCCGUGAAUGGCUUUCCUCCUUGUCCACCAUGUAGCCCAGAGAGUUACUUCAGAGUAACAAAAGCAUCGUGUGGCAUUGAUUCAAUCAUUGCAAAAGAGGCACUAUUUUGCGCUGGGUUCAGUCGAUGCAAUUAAGUGCUCCAUUAAAACCUCACUGACAAGAGCACAUAUGCUCCGAGACAUCGAACACUCGAGCAAGGAAUGCCUCCACGAAUCUUCCAUAUGACACAUAAUCCGCACGGCUUCCUCGCCUAUAGGGCGCCGGUGGUACGCCGGCCCAGUAAGACGUGUCACUUCAUGCUAAUGUCACUCAAUAUCUUUUUGCUUUUAUUUUUUUCAUAUUUUAAAACCUUC